UACCACCUGUCCACUUCUUUCCUGGGUGCAGCUCACCACAAACUUUAAAAAUCACCUGAUUCACAUUCACUUUCCCAGUUGCCCUGAAAGAUCCUGGCAGGCUCACAGCACCGGAGCUGAUG
This 122-nucleotide long non-coding RNA is filed under the name Ictidomys tridecemlineatus (thirteen-lined ground squirrel). RNAcentral's name for it is "lncRNA (ENSSTOG00000033549.1)". The record is from RNAcentral. Lineage: Eukaryota; Metazoa; Chordata; Mammalia; Rodentia; Sciuridae.